GAUGAACGCUAGCGACAGGCUUAACACAUGCAAGUCGAGGGGCAGCGGGGGUGAUGGCUUGCCAUCACCUGCCGGCGACCGGCGCACGGGUGAGUAACACGUAUGCAACCUGCCCGCCACAGGGGGAUAAGCGGAAGAAAUUCCGUCUAAUACCGCGUGACGCGGCGCCGGGGCAUCCCGGUGCCGCCAAAGGGAUUACCGGUGGCGGAUGGGCAUGCGGCGCAUUAGCUAGUCGGCGGGGUAACGGCCCACCGAGGCGACGAUGCGUAGGGGUUCUGAGAGGAAGGUCCCCCACACUGGUACUGAGACACGGACCAGACUCCUACGGGAGGCAGCAGUGAGGAAUAUUGGUCAAUGGGCGCGAGCCUGAACCAGCCAAGUCGCGUGAGGGAUGACGGUCCUACGGAUUGUAAACCUCUUUUGCCGGGGAGCAAGCGUGCGUUCGUGAACGCGCGUCGAGAGUACCCGGAGAAAAAGCAUCGGCUAACUCCGUGCCAGCAGCCGCGGUAAUACGGAGGAUGCGAGCGUUAUCCGGAUUUAUUGGGUUUAAAGGGUGCGUAGGCGGGAUGCCAAGUCAGCGGUAAAAAUGCGGUGCUCAACGCCGUCGAGCCGUUGAAACUGGCGUUCUUGAGUGGGCGAGAAGUAUGCGGAAUGCGUGGUGUAGCGGUGAAAUGCAUAGAUAUCACGCAGAACUCCGAUUGCGAAGGCAGCAUACCGGCGCCCUACUGACGCUGAGGCACGAAAGCGUGGGUAUCGAACAGGAUUAGAUACCCUGGUAGUCCACGCAGUAAACGAUGAAUGCUAACUGUCCGGCUCGAAUGAGCGCUGGGCGGUACAGCGAAAGCGUUAAGCAUUCCACCUGGGGAGUACGCCGGCAACGGUGAAACUCAAAGGAAUUGACGGGGGCCCGCACGAGCGGAGGAACAUGUGGUUUAAUUCGAUGAUACGCGAGGAACCUUACCCGGGCUCAAACGCAGGAUGACGGGUCCCGAAAGGGGUCUUUCUUCGGACAUUCUGCGAGGUGCUGCAUGGUUGUCGUCAGCUCGUGCCGUGAGGUGUCGGCUUAAGUGCCAUAACGAGCGCAACCCCUGUCCACAGUUGCCAGCAGGUAAAGCUGGGGACUCUGUGGAGACUGCCGGCGCAAGCUGCGAGGAAGGCGGGGAUGACGUCAAAUCAGCACGGCCCUUACGUCCGGGGCGACACACGUGUUACAAUGGCAGGUACAGCGGGAUGCCACGGGGCGACCCGGCGCUGAACCCGAAAACCUGUCUCAGUUCGGAUUGGAGUCUGCAACCCGACUCCAUGAAGCUGGAUUCGCUAGUAAUCGCGCAUCAGCCACGGCGCGGUGAAUACGUUCCCGGGCCUUGUACACACCGCCCGUCAAGCCAUGGAAGCCGGGGGUACCUGAAGUGCGUGACCGCGAGGAGCGCCCUAGGGUAAAACCGGUGACUGGGGCU
Molecule: ribosomal RNA, 1457 nt
Filed under: uncultured bacterium
Lineage: Bacteria
Description: partial 16S ribosomal RNA
Rfam family: Bacterial small subunit ribosomal RNA
Source: RNAcentral